This 605-nucleotide ribosomal RNA is filed under the name Grosmannia penicillata. RNAcentral describes it as "eukaryotic LSU rRNA". It matches the Rfam family "Eukaryotic large subunit ribosomal RNA", at positions 1 to 617 of the family's 3401-position model. Lineage: Eukaryota; Fungi; Ascomycota; Sordariomycetes; Ophiostomatales; Ophiostomataceae. The record is from RNAcentral.
UUGACCUCGGAUCAGGUAGGAUUACCCGCUGAACUUAAGCAUAUCAAUAAGCGGAGGAAAAGAAACCAACAGGGAUUGCCCCAGUAACGGCGAGUGAAGCGGCAACAGCUCAGAUUUGGAAUCUGGCCUUCGGGCCCGAGUUGUAAUCUGGAGAGGAUGCUUCUGGCGCGGUGCCUUCCGAGUUCCCUGGAACGGGACGCCGGAGAGGGUGAGAGCCCCGUACGGUUGGACACCUAGCCUCUGUGAAGCUCCUUCGACGAGUCGAGUAGUUUGGGAAUGCUGCUCAAAAUGGGAGGUAAAUUUCUUCUAAAGCUAAAUAUUGGCCAGAGACCGAUAGCGCACAAGUAGAGUGAUCGAAAGAUGAAAAGCACUUUGAAAAGAGAGUUAAAAAGUACGUGAAAUUGUUGAAAGGGAAGCGCCCGUGGCCAGACUUGCGCUGCGCGGACCACCCAGCGUUCUCGCUGGUGCACUCCGCGCGGCGCAGGCCAGCAUCGGUUUUCCUAGGGGGAUAAAGGUCGCGGGAACGUAGCUCCUCCGGGAGUGUUAUAGCCCGUGGCGUCAUGCCCCUGGGGGGACCGAGGACCGCGCUUCGGCAAGGAUUCGUC